RNAcentral lists this long non-coding RNA (702 nucleotides) under Macaca mulatta (Rhesus monkey). Its description in RNAcentral is "lncRNA (ENSMMUG00000044181.2)". The record is from RNAcentral. Lineage: Eukaryota; Metazoa; Chordata; Mammalia; Primates; Cercopithecidae.
UUAGUCUCUUUACUCUUUUCUUGCAGGUAAGAGAAUUAUGAACGACAGUGGUUAUUUGAUUUGCUCAAGUGCACAUCAAUAGUUAGUAAGGGCUGGGACUAAGGCCGGGCCUCCCAAUUCUCAGUUGAGGACUUUUGACUGUACAGGUAGCCACUUGUACUCAAACAGGCUAGCAGGUGAGGGCUGCUGAGAAGAAAAGGAGUUAUUCCUCAUUUUAAGCAUUGGUUCACCCUGGACCAGAAGUUACUCCAAAAUCAACGUGAAAGUGGCAGUGAAGGAGUAGCACAUACCCUCCCUUAAUAUUCUCUCAGAAUGUUUAACACCUCCCAUGGGAAUCAAGUUGCUUCAAGAAAUUACAUAAACCAAGUCACCUUAAUCUCUGCUUAAUUUCUUCAUCUCUAAAUUAGAUAUAAUAGUGGCACCUGUUUCUUGGUGUGGUGGUGAAAAGUAAAUAAGAUAAAUGUUAAGUAAAUGUUGUUAUUUUUCUCCCAGCAACUACACUGUGUGCCAUGGGCAUACUGAAUAAAGAAUCAGUGUGAUGGAAAACACAAGACUGAAGAAACAGCCAAAAGAAGGAGAAAAGGAGGUGCUUGAUUCCAUCGCCUUCUCCUCCUGAGCCAGAGAAAGGAGCUGUCCAAAUUAUAGCUGUGAAGGCUAAAAAGUACUUACAACCUAGUCCACCGUUUCUGAAAUACUAUUUGU